RNAcentral lists this ribosomal RNA (486 nucleotides) under uncultured bacterium. Its description in RNAcentral is "partial 16S ribosomal RNA". It matches the Rfam family "Bacterial small subunit ribosomal RNA", at positions 30 to 507 of the family's 1533-position model. The record is from RNAcentral.
AUUGAACGCUGGCGGCAUGCCUUACACAUGCAAGUCGAACGGCAGCACGGGUGCUUGCACCUGGUGGCGAGUGGCGAACGGGUGAGUAAUACAUCGGAACAUGUCCUGUAGUGGGGGAUAGCCCGGCGAAAGCCGGAUUAAUACCGCAUACGAUCUACGGAUGAAAGCGGGGGACCUUCGGGCCUCGCGCUAUAGGGUUGGCCGAUGGCUGAUUAGCUAGUUGGUGGGGUAAAGGCCUACCAAGGCGACGAUCAGUAGCUGGUCUGAGAGGACGACCAGCCACACUGGGACUGAGACACGGCCCAGACUCCUACGGGAGGCAGCAGUGGGGAAUUUUGGACAAUGGGCGAAAGCCUGAUCCAGCAAUGCCGCGUGUGUGAAGAAGGCCUUCGGGUUGUAAAGCACUUAUGUCCGGAAAGAAAUCCUUGGCCCUAAUACGGUCGGGGGAUGACGGUACCGGAAGAAUAAGCACCGGCUAACUACGUG